Molecule: ribosomal RNA, 460 nt
Filed under: uncultured bacterium
Lineage: Bacteria
Description: partial 16S ribosomal RNA
Rfam family: Bacterial small subunit ribosomal RNA
Source: RNAcentral
CCUACGGGUGGCAGCAGUGAGGAAUAUUGGUCAAUGGGCGCGAGCCUGAACCAGCCAAGUAGCGUGAAGGAUGACUGCCCUACGGGUUGUAACCUUCUUUUAUAAAGAAAUAAAGUGGGGCACGUGUCCUUUUUUGUUUGUAUUUUUUGAAUAAGGAUGGGCUACCUCCGUGCCAGCAGCCGCGGUAAUACGGAGGACCCGAGCGUUAUCCGGAUUUAUUGGGUUUAAAGGGAGCGUAGAUGGGUUGUAAAGUCAGUUGUGAAAGUUUGCGGCUCAACCGUAAAAUUGCAAUUGAUACUGGCAGUCUUGAGUACAGUUGAGGUAGGCGGAAUUCGUGGUGUAGCGGUGAAAUGCUUAGAUAUCACGAAGAACUCCGAUUGCGAAGGCAGCUUACUAAACUGCCACUGACAUUGAUGCUCGAAAGUGUGGGUAUCAAACAGGAUUAGAUACCCCAGUAGUC